UAACACCAGCGCCACGAGUGGGAAUCAGCUUUAUUUGGCCUAAAACGUCCGUAGCUGGUUCGAUAAGUCCUUUGUGAAAUCAUCAGGCUCAACCUGACGGCGUGCAGAGGAUACUGUCGAACUCGAGACCGGGAGGAGUCAGAGGUAUUUUCAGGGGAGCGGUAAAAUGCUAUAAUCCUGGAAGGACCACCUGUGGCGUAGGCGUCUGACUAGAACGGAUCUGACAGUGAGGGACGAAAGCUAGGGGAGCGAUCCGGAUUAGAUACCCGAGUAGUCCUAGCCGUAAACGCUGUGAGCAAGGCGUUGCAUAUUUCUCGUGAAUAUGCAGUGUCGAAACGAAGGUGUUAAGCUCACUGCCUGGGAAGUACGGUCGCAAGACUG
RNAcentral lists this ribosomal RNA (381 nucleotides) under uncultured Halobacteria archaeon. RNAcentral's name for it is "bacterial SSU rRNA". It matches the Rfam family "Archaeal small subunit ribosomal RNA", at positions 471 to 851 of the family's 1478-position model. Lineage: Archaea; Methanobacteriati; Methanobacteriota; Halobacteria. The record is from RNAcentral.